RNAcentral lists this ribosomal RNA (465 nucleotides) under Vreelandella stevensii. RNAcentral describes it as "partial 16S ribosomal RNA". It matches the Rfam family "Bacterial small subunit ribosomal RNA", at positions 338 to 795 of the family's 1533-position model. Lineage: Bacteria; Pseudomonadati; Pseudomonadota; Gammaproteobacteria; Oceanospirillales; Halomonadaceae. The record is from RNAcentral.
CCUACGGGCGGCUGCAGUGGGGAAUAUUGGACAAUGGGCGAAAGCCUGAUCCAGCCAUGCCGCGUGUGUGAAGAAGGCCUUCGGGUUGUAAAGCACUUUCAGUGGGGAAGAAAGCCUUGGGGCUAAUACCCUCGACGAAGGACAGCACCCACAGAAGAAGCACCGGCGAACUCCGUGCCCGCAGCCGCGGUAAUACGGAGGGUGCGAGCGUUAAUCGGAAUUACUGGGCGUAAAGCGCGCGUAGGCGGUCUGAUAAGCCGGUUGUGAAAGCCCCGGGCUCAACCUGGGAACGGCAUCCGGAACUGUCAGGCUAGAGUGCAGGAGAGGAAGGUAGAAUUCCCGGUGUAGCGGUGAAAUGCGUAGAGAUCGGGAGGAAUACCAGUGGCGAAGGCGGCCUUCUGGACUGACACUGACGCUGAGGUGCGAAAGCGUGGGUAGCAAACAGGAUUAGAUACCCUGGUAGUC